CCGACCUUAGCUCAGUUGGUAGAGCGGAGGACUGUAGUGUUAUCAUAGCUAUCCUUAGGUCGCUGGUUCGAAUCCGGCAGGUCGGA
RNAcentral lists this transfer RNA (86 nucleotides) under Salvia splendens (bonfire salvia). It matches the Rfam family "tRNA". From Rfam's summary of the family: Transfer RNA (tRNA) molecules are approximately 80 nucleotides in length. Their secondary structure includes four short double-helical elements and three loops (D, anti-codon, and T loops). The record is from Rfam by way of RNAcentral. Lineage: Eukaryota; Viridiplantae; Streptophyta; Magnoliopsida; Lamiales; Lamiaceae.